Sphaerodactylus townsendi is the source of this 367-nucleotide long non-coding RNA. RefSeq lists it as uncharacterized. The record is from RefSeq and is a predicted model, not a curated record. NCBI's taxonomy places the organism in Eukaryota, Metazoa, Chordata, Lepidosauria, Squamata, Sphaerodactylidae. The transcript is spliced from 2 exons.
UGGGAAUUUCCAACUGCAUGCACAUCCUGACUCCUCCUCCUCCUCCUCCAGUUUUCUUGUGACUGUUGUCUCCUCAUGUCCUAGGGUGGCUGGCAACCAAUGCCUUGUACUGUAUUUUCCAACUGGCAACCAACAGAGGGUGCUGAAAUGACCCAGAUGUUCCUCAAAAGCUCAGAACAUACUUCUUGCAGCAACACAAAGCAGGAACAGUAAUACAGGCCAAUCUUUCAAUAGGAAACAUACUUGACACAUGCUGGAAAUGGAGAGCUGGCAAGUGGUAUCGAGGUUCCACACUCCAGUCUGAAGACAUGAGGCACUUAGGACCUCAAGACAGCCCAGGAAAUAAAGCAGAUGAGUAUGAACAUGA